GAUGAACGCUGACAGAAUGCUUAACACAUGCAAGUCAACUUGAACUUCGGUUUGGGUGGCGGUCGGGUGAGUAACGCGUAAAGAACUUGCCUCACAGAUAGGGACAACAUUUGGAAACGAAUGCUAAUACCUGAUAUUAUGAUUAUAUGGCAUCGUAUAAUUAUGAAAGCUAUAUGCGCUGUGAGAGAGCUUUGCGUCCCAUUAGCUAGUUGGAGAGGUAACGGCUCACCAAGGCGAUGAUGGGUAGCCGGCCUGAGAGGGUGAUCGGCCACAAGGGGACGGAGACACGGCCCGUACGCAUACGGGAGGCAGCAGUGGGGAAUAUUGGACAAUGGACCAAGUGUCUGAUGCAGCAAUUCUGUGUGCACGAUGAAGUUUUUCGGAAUGUAAAGUGCUUUCAGUUGGGAAGAAAAAAAUGACGGUACCAACAGAAGAAGUGACGGCUAAAUACGUG
This 454-nucleotide ribosomal RNA is filed under the name uncultured bacterium. Its description in RNAcentral is "partial 16S ribosomal RNA". It matches the Rfam family "Bacterial small subunit ribosomal RNA", at positions 28 to 507 of the family's 1533-position model. The record is from RNAcentral.